This 465-nucleotide ribosomal RNA is filed under the name uncultured bacterium. RNAcentral's name for it is "partial 16S ribosomal RNA". It matches the Rfam family "Bacterial small subunit ribosomal RNA", at positions 338 to 795 of the family's 1533-position model. The record is from RNAcentral.
CCUACGGGAGGCAGCAGUAGGGAAUUUUCGUCAAUGGGCGCAAGCCUGAACGAGCGAUGCCGCGUGAGUGAAGAAGGCCUUCGGGUCGUAAAGCUCUGUUGCGGGGGAAAAAAGGCAGCAUCAGGAAAUGGGUGCUGACUGAUGGUGCCCCGCCAGAAAGUCACGGCUAACUACGUGCCAGCAGCCGCGGUAAUACGUAGGUGGCGAGCGUUAUCCGGAAGGAUUGGGCGUAAAGGGUGCGCAGGCGGUCCUGCAAGUCUGGAGUGAAACGCAUGAGCUCAACUCAUGCAUGGCUUUGGAAACUGGAGGACUGGAGAGCAGGAGAGGGCGGUGGAACUCCAUGUGGAGCGGUAAAAUGCGUAGAUAUAUGGAAGAACACCAGUGGCGAAGGCGGCCGCCUGGCCUGUUGCGGACGCUGAGGCACGAAAGCGUGGGGAGCAAAUAGGAUUAGAUACCCUGGUAGUC